UGCCCCAUGGCUGAGUUGGUUACAGCGUCCGACUGUUAUUCACUGGCAUCGGAAGGUCGUGAGUUCGAGCCUCACUGGGGCAG
Molecule: transfer RNA, 83 nt
Filed under: Suillus cothurnatus
Lineage: Eukaryota; Fungi; Basidiomycota; Agaricomycetes; Boletales; Suillaceae
Also listed under: 1 other name
Description: tRNA-Asn
Rfam family: tRNA
About the family: Transfer RNA (tRNA) molecules are approximately 80 nucleotides in length. Their secondary structure includes four short double-helical elements and three loops (D, anti-codon, and T loops). Further hydrogen bonds mediate the characteristic L-shaped molecular structure. tRNAs have two regions of fundamental functional importance: the anti-codon, which is responsible for specific mRNA codon recognition, and the 3' end, to which the tRNAs corresponding amino acid is attached (by aminoacyl-tRNA synthetases). tRNAs cope with the degeneracy of the genetic code in two manners: having more than one tRNA (with a specific anti-codon) for a particular amino acid; and 'wobble' base-pairing, i.e. permitting non-standard base-pairing at the 3rd anti-codon position.
Source: RNAcentral